This is a long non-coding RNA of Papaver somniferum (opium poppy), 838 nucleotides long. RefSeq lists it as uncharacterized. The transcript has 5 exons. The record is from RefSeq and is a predicted model, not a curated record. NCBI's taxonomy places the organism in Eukaryota, Viridiplantae, Streptophyta, Magnoliopsida, Ranunculales, Papaveraceae.
GGCCAAGUUAAACAAGCAUCAGAGUUCGAGGAUAAUGAAGCGUAAAUGCUAGUAGCCAGCUGGGGGUAUUGCAACCCCUGGUAAGUCCCUAUUUUCCUUCUUUUUUUUCCAUUUUUUAUCUGUGCAAUUUAAUUACGGAAAUAUGUGGAAAGCAAAAAUUAAGCUCUAUUUUUUACUUUGUGCGAGGUAAACAAAAGCAUCAAUAAUCAAUUUCAAUUAAGGGCAACUAUAGGACGAUUCAAGAAUUUGAACUAUCAGCGAUGGAAGAAUUUCCUCAAAUGAAGUGUCGGCACCUCCUCCUAUAGUUUCUCAAUAUCCAUUUCUUGAGGAUGAGAUGGGCUCAAUUUGGAAAGAGCUGGAUAGAAAACUUAGAGAUCUUCUUGAACUUGGUAGGUCAGGAGUGGUUCUUCCCGUUGUAACUGCGAUCUGCGAGUCAAAAGCUUCGCACGAAUGAAAAGCUCCUUAGCAAAACUAAAGUUGAUAGAUAGCAUUCGGCGACGUCUAAACUCUAUGGGCUUUGGCCACAUCAUCUGGCUAUUUCUGGAGGCCGUGGUCUUUGGCCAUGGUUACUGGCAAUGUCUGGAUGCUGCCUGUCUUUGGCUACGAGAUUUCUGGCGACAUCCGAAUGCUUUGAUUCAUCGUGAUCAAGGGAACCAUACACUGUUUUUGAAGAUGGACUCAAUUUGGAAGGAGCUGUGUAUAUAAUUUAGAGAUCUUCUUGGAUUUGAGAGGUCAGGAGUGGUUUGAUACAUCGUAACCGUGAGUCAAUAGUUUCGCACGAAUGAAAGGAAGGUUAGAACUUUACACUGUUUUUCUUUGUUGUCGUAGGCAUGCUGAA